Molecule: long non-coding RNA, 1059 nt
Filed under: Zonotrichia albicollis (white-throated sparrow)
Lineage: Eukaryota; Metazoa; Chordata; Aves; Passeriformes; Passerellidae
Description: lncRNA (ENSZALG00000009145.1)
Source: RNAcentral
AAGAUUCCUGGAAAACUGAAACAGCUUUCCAGAAGUGAAAUGAAAAUGAAAGAAACAAUCCAAGAUGUUUCCCUCUAUUUAUUUAUAUGCUCUCCUUUUCCAUGUUGCAUCCCAGUAAUUCCAGAUGCACCUCACCUCUAAGAUCGGUGACUUAGUGAUUUUUAGACACUCUAAAAUACCAUGAGCCACACACAGUUUUCCUUCCCCUGUUUUUACUGGAAGGCAACACUGGAGAUGUAAGUGCAGUGCUGGGCUCAGUUAGGAAUCCUACCCCAAGGGAAGGUGGCCCGACAGUGUUUGACCCUGAGCAAGGACAAUGCACAGCAGGGAGCGAGGGGAUCGCUCUGCCAGUGUGCAGGAGUCAGGGCUCUGCAUCUGCGCUCAAGGCUGCAAAGUUCCCGUGUUUGGNCCUGGGAUUUUGGAGGUCAUUACAAAUUGGCCCGAAGGUGAGAAUUUUGGUGUCACAGAUGAAAAGGAACAAGAACCAGGGACACGUGCUGAAGAGGCUCCUCCGUAUAACCAACUGCCCCCAGAGGAAACACGCUACGCUCUUUUCACUGACAGUUCCUGUCGCAUUGUAGGGAUGAACCGUAAGUGGAAAGCAGCCAUAUGGAGCCCCACACGACAGGUUGCACAAGCUACCGAAGAAGAAAGUGGAUCAAGCCAAUUUGCUGAACUCAAAGCUGUUCAACUGGCCCUAGACAUUGCUGAGAGAGAGAAGUGGCCAAGGCUCUACCUCUACACUGAUUCAUGGAUGGUAGCCAAUGCUCUGUGGGGAUGGCUGGAGAGGUGGAAAAAGGCUAACUGGCAACGUAGAGGGAAACUAAUUUGGGCUGCUGAUGAGUGGAAAGACAUUGCUACCAGGGUAGGGAAACUGCCUGUGAAAGUCCGCCAUGUAGAUGCCCAUGUACCCAAGAGUAGGGCCACUGAGGAGCACCAAAACAAUGAGCAGGUAGACCAAGCUGCAAAGAUAGGGGUGUCCAAAAUAGACCUAGAUUGGGAACAUAAGGGAGAGUUAUUCCUAGCUCNNNNNNNNNNNNNNNNNNNNNNNNNNNNNNN